RNAcentral lists this ribosomal RNA (468 nucleotides) under uncultured bacterium. Its description in RNAcentral is "partial 16S ribosomal RNA". It matches the Rfam family "Bacterial small subunit ribosomal RNA", at positions 28 to 507 of the family's 1533-position model. The record is from RNAcentral.
GACGAACGCUGGCGGCGUGCUUAACACAUGCAAGUCGAACGGAAAGGCCCUGCUUUUGUGGGGUGCUCGAGUGGCGAACGGGUGAGUAACACGUGAGUAACCUGCCCUUGACUUUGGGAUAACUUCAGGAAACUGGGGCUAAUACAGGAUAGGAGCUCCUGCUGCAUGGUGGGGGUUGGAAAGUUUCGGCGGUUGGGGAUGGACUCGCGGCUUAUCCGCUUGUUUGUGGGGUAGUGGCUUACCAAGGCUUUGACGGGUAGCCGGCCUGAGAGGGUGGCCGGCCACAUUGGGACUGAGAUACGGCCCAGACUCCUACGGGAGGCAGCAGUGGAGAAUCUUGCACAGUGGGCGGAAGCCUGAUGCAGCAACGCCGCGUGCGGGAUGACGGCCUUCGGGUUGUAAACCGCUUUCGCCUGUGACGAAGCGUGAGUGACGGUAAUGGGUAAAGAAGCACCGGCUAACUACGUG